This 253-nucleotide ribosomal RNA is filed under the name uncultured bacterium. RNAcentral's name for it is "partial 16S ribosomal RNA". It matches the Rfam family "Bacterial small subunit ribosomal RNA", at positions 524 to 776 of the family's 1533-position model. The record is from RNAcentral.
UACGGGGGGGGCAAGCGUUGUUCGGAAUUACUGGGCGUAAAGGGCUCGUAGGCGGCCAACUAAGUCAGACGUGAAAUCCCCAGGCUCAACCUGGGAACUACGUCUGAUACUGGAUGGCUUGAAUCCGGGAGAGGGAUGCAGAAUUCCAGGUGUAGCGGUGAAAUGCGUAGAUAUCUGGAGGAAUACCGGUGGCGAAGGCGGCCUUCUGGACAGUGACUGACGCUGAGACGCGAAAGCGUGGGGAGCAAACAGG